AGGGCCGCUACCACGCGAGUGGAUGCCAAUCCCCAAAACCUCUCUCAGUUCGGACUGGAGUCUGCAAUCCGACUCCACGAAGCUGGAUUCGCUAGUAAUCGCGCAUCAGCCACGGCGCGGUGAAUACGUUCCCGGGCCUUGUACACACCGCCCGUCAAGCCAUGGGAGCCGGGGGUACCUGAAGUGCGUAACCGCGAGGAGCGCCCUAGGGUAAAACUGGUGACUGGGGCUAAGUCGUAACAAGGUAUC
Molecule: ribosomal RNA, 249 nt
Filed under: uncultured bacterium
Lineage: Bacteria
Description: partial 16S ribosomal RNA
Rfam family: Bacterial small subunit ribosomal RNA
Source: RNAcentral